RNAcentral lists this ribosomal RNA (422 nucleotides) under uncultured bacterium. Its description in RNAcentral is "bacterial SSU rRNA". It matches the Rfam family "Bacterial small subunit ribosomal RNA", at positions 355 to 774 of the family's 1533-position model. The record is from RNAcentral.
UAAGGAAUAUUGGUCAAUGGACGAAAGUCUGAACCAGCCAUGCCGCGUGGAGGAUGAAGGUCCUCUGGAUUGUAAACUUCUUUUAUCUGGGACGAAAAAAGGUCUUUCUAGAUCGUCUGACGGUACCAGAUGAAUAAGCACCGGCCAACUCCGUGCCAGCAGCCGCGGUAAUACGGAGGGUGCAAGCGUUAUCCGGAUUCACUGGGUUUAAAGGGUGCGUAGGUGGGUUGGUAAGUCAGUGGUGAAAUCUUCGAGCUUAACUCGGAAACUGCCAUUGAUACUAUCAGUCUUGAAUAUUGUGGAGGUUAGCGGAAUAUGUUAUGUAGCGGUGAAAUGCUUAGAUAUGACAUAGAACACCAAUUGCGAAGGCAGCUGGCUACACAUAUAUUGACACUGAGGCACGAAAGCGUGGGGAUCAAACA